GUGCAACGCCGACUUUCUAGGCAUGACAUAGACGUAGUGCAUCGCUCUGCGCGUCUAGGAAAAUUCCCAUCAAUUUUUCCUUUCGAACGGAAUCGAUAAAAUUUCUCAUUUUUAACGGUAUAUCAAUCCAACAGAUUCAGUAAAUUCAAAAAUGUGCGUGUGUGUGUCGAUGUAAUGAAUUUUUCAAAUUUCAUCUCCUGGAAGUGUAUCCGGAUAAUUAAAUAAUUUUCACUGCAAAUGCUGAUUAAAUGAAAAUAAUACGAAUAAUCGUUGAAAGCAAUUGAAAACACUCGUUUUCCCGCUAAUUAAAAAAUCCUCUGGUCAUCCCUGAAUUUUUUAUCCAACGGUUUCCACUUCACUCUUGUUUUGAUAAUUUUUUUGAUGCUCCAGAUACAUAUGAAAUUCAAAUCCAACUCCUGUUAGUCCGCUGAGGAUCGGAAUUUUAUUUAUUUUUGUUUUGAUCCUUUCUCAAUUUUCACUUCCUUCUCUUUUUCUCCUCGAACGGGAUAGACGGGUGUCCCACUUACGAAACAUUUCGUCUUGUCGGCUAAAUUUCUUCUCAAUUAUUUUUGACUUGAGAAAUAAGAUAAAAGGGGUAUUGGAAUACUUGUCGGAGUAAAUGGUUCGCUGAUAAAAUCUCAAUGAUAGUCUUUUUCCAAUGGAAAUAAUUUUGAAUUUAUGAUGUGCCUCGAGACUGUGUGUGAAAAAAUAACUUGUUCAUCAAUCCGAAAGUUUAUAAUUACGAAGAAAGUGGUGAUGGAAUAGAGAGCUGAGUGUGCCCAUUGGAUUAUAAAUACACAGAUUUCAUCUUCCUUUUGUUAAUUUCUCGGACCAGAUGAGGACAAGGGUGGAUCGGAAGCACCCUAGAUAAAACCUAGUUUAUGAAGCCGUAAAUCCCAGUUCCAACCCAGAUGCUGGAAAAUUAUAAGUGAAUUUUUAUUACGGUUUAUUGUUGUGAAAAUGUAAGGAGUGGGUGUUCAACUGCACUUUAGUUAUUCAUCCCGCCAAUAAUUCAGUUCGAAAUUUGAAUUACCCCAGAAUAAAUAAAUAUCACCCACAUUGAAUAAUAUAUUCUAUUUUUUGACUUCCAUCUAUUCACUGACGAAAAAAUAAGGGAAUAAAAAUAAAUAAAUGAAAGUCCAUUUUUUUUCCAUUGUUAAAAUUUAUUUCAGAACCUUAAAAACCUCUGGAGUGCUAACUGGUAGUUUCGAUCAAUUGAAGACGAAGGCUAUCCCGAGAAGACUCUCGCAUCAUGA
This is a long non-coding RNA of Fopius arisanus, 1256 nucleotides long. RefSeq lists it as uncharacterized. NCBI's taxonomy places the organism in Eukaryota, Metazoa, Arthropoda, Insecta, Hymenoptera, Braconidae. The transcript has 3 exons. The record is from RefSeq and is a predicted model, not a curated record.